This 253-nucleotide ribosomal RNA is filed under the name uncultured bacterium. Its description in RNAcentral is "partial 16S ribosomal RNA". It matches the Rfam family "Bacterial small subunit ribosomal RNA", at positions 524 to 776 of the family's 1533-position model. The record is from RNAcentral.
UACAGAGGGUGCGAGCGUUACUCGGAAUUACUGGGCGUAAAGCGCACGUAGGCGGCUUUGUAAGUUAGAGGUGAAAGCCCGGGGCUCAACUCCGGAAUUGCCUUUAAGACUGCAUCGCUAGAACGUCGGAGAGGUAAGUGGAAUUCCGAGUGUAGAGGUGAAAUUCGUAGAUAUUCGGAAGAACACCAGUGGCGAAGGCGACUCACUGGACGACUGUUGACGCUGAGGUGCGAAAGCGUGGGGAGCAAACAGG